CCCUUAGAUGUUCUGGGCCGCACGCGUGCUACACUGAGUAAUUCUAUGGGUAAGGGAACGCUAGAGCAUUACCUAAUCUUGAAAUUUGCUCGUGAUGGGGAUCGACGGUUGCAAUUUUCCGUCGUGAACGAGGAAUACCUUGUAGGCGCAUGUCAUCAUCAUGCGCCGAAUACGUCCCUGCCCUUUGUACACACCGCCCGUCGCUCCUACCGAUUGAGUGAUCCGGUGAGGCUCUGGGACCUGGACGGAAAGAGCGUUUCGCUUGUUCUGUUUGGGAAACUUGGUCGAACCUUAUCAUUUAGAGGAAGGAGAAGUCGUAACA
This 322-nucleotide ribosomal RNA is filed under the name uncultured eukaryote. Its description in RNAcentral is "partial 18S ribosomal RNA". It matches the Rfam family "Eukaryotic small subunit ribosomal RNA", at positions 1470 to 1796 of the family's 1831-position model. The record is from RNAcentral.